CGGGAUGUUCAUAACCCUUUGUUGUCCGACUCUGUUGCCUCCGGGGCGACCCUGCCUUCGGGCGGGGGCUCCGGGUGGACACUUCAAACUCUUGCGUAACUUUGCAGUCUGAGUAAACUUAAUUAAUAAAUUAAAACUUUUAACAACGGAUCUCUUGGUUCUGGCAUCGAUGAAGAACGCAGCGAAAUGCGAUAAGUAAUGUGAAUUGCAGAAUUCAGUGAAUCAUCGAAUCUUUGAACGCACAUUGCGCCCCCUGGUAUUCCGGGGGGCAUGCCUGUUCGAGCGUCAUUUCACCACUCAAGCCUCGCUUGGUAUUGGGCAUCGCGGUCCGCCGCGUGCCUCAAAUCGACCGGCUGGGUCUUCUGUCCCCUAAGCGUUGUGGAAACUAUUCGCUAAAGGGUGUUCGGGAGGCUACGCCGUAAAACAACCCCAUUUCUAAGGUUGACCUCGGAUCAGGUAGGGAUACCCGCUGAACUUAAGCAUAUCAAUAAGCGGAGGAAC
RNAcentral lists this ribosomal RNA (501 nucleotides) under Cladosporium cladosporioides. RNAcentral's name for it is "eukaryotic LSU rRNA". The stretch from base 135 to 288 matches the Rfam family "5.8S ribosomal RNA". Lineage: Eukaryota; Fungi; Ascomycota; Dothideomycetes; Cladosporiales; Cladosporiaceae. The record is from RNAcentral.